GCCAGACUCCUACGGGAGGCAGCAGUGGGGGAUACUGCACAAUGGGGGGAACCCUGAUGCAGCGACGCCGCGUGGGUGAAGGAGCGUUUCGGCGCGUAAAGCCCUCUCGGCAGGGAAGAAGGAGGACGGUACCUGACUAAGAAGCCCCGGCUAACUACGUGCCAGCAGCCGCGGUAAUACGUAGGGGGCAAGCGUUAUCCGGAUUUACUGGGUGUAAAGGGAGCGCAGGCGGUUCUGCAAGUCUGAUGUGAAAGCCCGGGGCUCAACCGCGGGACUGCAUUGGAAACUGCGGGACUGGAGUGUCGGAGGGGUAAGCGGAAUUCCUAGUGUAGCGGUGAAAUGCGUAGAUAUUAGGAGGAACACCAGUGGCGAAGGCGGCUUACUGGACUGUAACUGACGUUGAGGCUCGAAAGCGUGGGGAGCAAACAGGAUUAGAUACCCUGGUA
This 446-nucleotide ribosomal RNA is filed under the name uncultured bacterium. Its description in RNAcentral is "partial 16S ribosomal RNA". It matches the Rfam family "Bacterial small subunit ribosomal RNA", at positions 330 to 792 of the family's 1533-position model. The record is from RNAcentral.